UACAGAGGGGGCAAGCGUUGUUCGGAAUUACUGGGCGUAAAGGGCGCGUAGGCGGCCUGCUAAGUCGAACGUGAAAUCCCUGGGCUCAACCCAGGAACUGCGUCCGAUACUGGUUGGCUUGAAUCCGGGAGAGGGAUGUGGAAUUCCAGGUGUAGCGGUGAAAUGCGUAGAUAUCUGGAGGAACACCGGUGGCGAAGGCGGGUCUCUGGGCCGAUACUGACGCUGAGGAGCGAAGGCGUGGGGAGCGAACAGG
RNAcentral lists this ribosomal RNA (253 nucleotides) under uncultured bacterium. Its description in RNAcentral is "partial 16S ribosomal RNA". It matches the Rfam family "Bacterial small subunit ribosomal RNA", at positions 524 to 776 of the family's 1533-position model. The record is from RNAcentral.